This 82-nucleotide small RNA is filed under the name bovine gut metagenome. RNAcentral describes it as "GA-cis RNA". It matches the Rfam family "GA-cis RNA". RNAcentral also lists the same sequence under 1 other name. The record is from RNAcentral.
UAGGAGGAGCGGGCUUCGUCGAAGGCGAAUUUUCCAUGCCCGCGACGAAAUGCCGCCGAGCGGAGCGAGGGGGCGAUACAAA